CCUGGCUAGCAUUGUCUUGACAACUUCCUGUGCACAAGUUACUGCUUCUCCCGGGGUGGAGGCGCAUUGUCCCAUAUGAAUAGUCUGCCAAAACCAUACAAAUUUAGCAAACAUUCAUAACCAGGUAUUGUGGAAAAUAGAGAGAGUGAC
Juglans microcarpa x Juglans regia is the source of this 150-nucleotide long non-coding RNA. RefSeq lists it as uncharacterized. The record is from RefSeq and is a predicted model, not a curated record. The transcript has 3 exons. Lineage: Eukaryota; Viridiplantae; Streptophyta; Magnoliopsida; Fagales; Juglandaceae.